This 504-nucleotide long non-coding RNA is filed under the name Bos taurus (domestic cattle). Its description in RNAcentral is "long non-coding RNA NONBTAT012791". Lineage: Eukaryota; Metazoa; Chordata; Mammalia; Artiodactyla; Bovidae. The record is from RNAcentral.
AAAAUAUGCAUAGAGCAUUUGUAGUAAUUAGAUGCAGCUCAGGUUUGGUAGUUUGAAGGAAUAGAAGUUUCUUUCUUUAUAUCCACCCGGGUGACUGAUCAUGCCUUCCUCAUGGGUUGAAAGAACUCCACUUCCACCAUGGAUGCCAGCAGGUCAGAUAAACUAGACAGACGAGGGACACUGCUUAGUGACUUGAGGAUCUGGUCCAAAGAACUGGUGCACCCAGGGACCUCUGUCUGCCCAAUGGCCAGAGAAUCCUCAGGGAAAUGAUCACCUCCAAGAAAUGGGCACUGUGACAUUGCCCUGUGGGUCCCCUCAUCCAGCAUCCUUCAGGGUACUUACAGCAUUAUCCUUACAGGACUAAUUAAAAUUUGGCUGAUAGUGAUUUUCCUUCCAUGAUGGCACUUUUUAUGCUAAAGGUCACCUUACAAUAUUAUGAAACUCAGCCUUGAAGAUGUAAAGACAGCACAUGUGGGGGCGUGAAAUGAGCAGGUGUGUGUUGAG